GGGUCAGUAGGUUGGUCGUGCCACCGGUACGUACUGGUCUCACUGAUUCCUCCUUCCUGAUGAGCUGUAAUGCCAUUAAUUUGGUGUUGCAGGGAAUCUGGACUGUUACUUUGAAAAAAUUAGAGUGUUUAAAGCAGGCUAACGCUUGAAUACAUUAGCAUGGAAUAAUGAAAUAGGACGUUCGAUCCUAUUUUGUUGGUUUCUAGGAUUGACGUA
This 216-nucleotide ribosomal RNA is filed under the name Glomeromycotina sp. WR864-A. RNAcentral describes it as "partial small subunit ribosomal RNA". The stretch from base 40 to 216 matches the Rfam family "Eukaryotic small subunit ribosomal RNA", at positions 686 to 864 of the family's 1831-position model. The record is from RNAcentral. Lineage: Eukaryota; Fungi; Glomeromycota. RNAcentral also lists the same sequence under 3 other names.